UUACCGAGUUUACAACUCCCAAACCCAAUGUGAACGUUACCAAACUGUUGCCUCGGCGGGAUCUCUGCCCCGGGUGCGUCGCAGCCCCGGACCAAGGCGCCCGCCGGAGGACCAACCAAAACUCUUUUUGUAUACCCCCUCGCGGGUUUUUUAUAAUCUGAGCCUUCUCGGCGCCUCUCGUAGGCGUUUCGAAAAUGAAUCAAAACUUUCAACAACGGAUCUCUUGGUUCUGGCAUCGAUGAAGAACGCAGCGAAAUGCGAUAAGUAAUGUGAAUUGCAGAAUUCAGUGAAUCAUCGAAUCUUUGAACGCACAUUGCGCCCGCCAGUAUUCUGGCGGGCAUGCCUGUCCGAGCGUCAUUUCAACCCUCGAACCCCUCCGGGGGGUCGGCGUUGGGGAUCGGCCCUCCCUUAGCGGGUGGCCGUCUCCGAAAUACAGUGGCGGUCUCGCCGCAGCCUCUCCUGCGCAGUAGUUUGCACACUCGCAUCGGGAGCGCGGCGCGUCCACAGCCGUUAAACACCCAACUUCUGAAAUGUUGACCUCGGAUCAGGUAGGAAUACCCGCUGAACUUAAGCAUAUCAAUAAGCGGAGGAAAAGAAACCAACAGGGAUUGCCCCAGUAACGGCGAGUGAAGCGGCAACAGCUCAAAUUUGAAAUCUGGCCCCUAGGGUCCGAGUUGUAAUUUGUAGAGGAUGCUUUUGGUGAGGUGCCGCCCGAGUUCCCUGGAACGGGACGCCACAGAGGGUGAGAGCCCCGUCUGGCUGGCCGCCGAGCCUCUGUAAAGCUCCUUCGACGAGUCGAGUAGUUUGGGAAUGCUGCUCAAAAUGGGAGGUAUAUGUCUUCUAAAGCUAAAUAUUGGCCAGAGACCGAUAGCGCACAAGUAGAGUGAUCGAAAGAUGAAAAGCACCUUGAAAAGAGGGUUAAAUAGUACGUGAAAUUGUUGAAAGGGAAGCGCUUGUGACCAGACUUGGGCGCGGCGGAUCAUCCGGGGUUCUCUCCGGUGCACUUCGCCGCGUCUAGGCCAGCAUCAGUUCGUCGCGGGGGAAAAAGGCUUCGGGAACGUGGCUCCUCCGGGAGUGUUAUAGCCCGUUGCAUAAUACCCUGCGGAGGAC
This 1110-nucleotide ribosomal RNA is filed under the name Trichoderma sp. 2 AE-2013. RNAcentral's name for it is "eukaryotic LSU rRNA". The stretch from base 535 to 1110 matches the Rfam family "Eukaryotic large subunit ribosomal RNA", at positions 1 to 586 of the family's 3401-position model. The record is from RNAcentral. Lineage: Eukaryota; Fungi; Ascomycota; Sordariomycetes; Hypocreales; Hypocreaceae.